Molecule: long non-coding RNA, 8475 nt
Filed under: Mus musculus (house mouse)
Lineage: Eukaryota; Metazoa; Chordata; Mammalia; Rodentia; Muridae
Description: long non-coding RNA chr8:112913693-112922168
Source: RNAcentral
UUAUUUAUUUAUUUAUUUAUUUUGUUUUUUCGAGACAGGGUUUCCCUGUAUAGCCCUGGAUGUCCUGGAACUCACUUAGUAGAACAGGCUGGCCAGGAACUCAGAAAUCCGCCUGCCUCUGCCUCUGCCUCUCAAGUGCUGGGCUUAAAGGCGUGCGCCACCAUGCCUGGCUUAAUGUGUAGCCCAGGCUGGACUCGAACUCAUGAUCCUCCUGCCUCUGCCUCCUUCUGCAAAUCCUACCGGGGUGUGCCACCACCACUGGCGAUAAAUUUUAAAAUUAUUCCUCCCAUCAUUAUUCCACAGUGAGCAAAAGUUAGAUGGAAGAUGUGGGUGUGGGUUAAAGGGAAGACUACUUCAAGAUUGGAGUAAAGUCUUAAACAGUGUGGUAUAUGAGGCACACUGACUCUUUAAUCACCAUGUAGGUGCUGUGUGGAAAAUAGAAAGAAAUUUACUCACAGGGCAUAUUAUUUAAAUGACAUCAAUCUAAAUUGAUACCUAUCCCUUGUUGUUGUUGUUGUUGUUGUUGUUGUUUUGUUUCAUUUUUCAAGAUACAAUUUCUCAAGUAGCCCUGGCUGUCCGAGAACUCACUAUGCAGACUGAGCUGGCCUUGAACUCACAGUGAUAAUCUGCCUCUGCCUCCCAAGCACUGGGAUUAAAGGUGUGCGCAACUGUACCUGGUAUGUUAUCCUUACUUAUUCCUACUUGUUGUAGUUGGCUUUAUAAAAAUAAAAGCAAUCGAAUGACCCCAAAAGAGAAUGUCCUAUGAUCAUGUUAAUCCUCAUUAAACACAGUAAAAAUGUACAGCAGAUUUUGAAAGAGGCAGUGUGUAUAUGGAGGGGAGCCAUACUCACAGAGAGUUGAACUGUGAUUCUGUUCAAGGCGUUUUUAAAUCAUUGUGCUUGUAGUCAUAAAUAAAGAAAACAAAUAAUUCCAUUAGUGUUUCAUACUCACAUGGCUAUGUUUUGUGGAUUUAAAAUGUAGUAAAUUAGAGAUAUUAAUCCCUUUAUGCUUGUAAAAUUAAAAAGGGGCAGCAAUGAGUCACCCACCGUGCUUCCAGAAUGCAUUGCUUUGGGGAGCAGUGUGCCUACUAAUGACAUCAUGAUUGUUUAGUAGAAAUUCAGUUUAUAUAAACUGUGUUCCAUGUCAGUUGCUGCUGGGUUAAAAGUCCGAUAUGUACUGGAAUUAAAUGUCCAUAGUUACAUGAAUACAAAUAUGUAUAUAUGCACUAAUAUGCCCAUCAUAUAUAUGCAUAUAUGUAUAUAUGAUAUAUGUGACAUAUAUGAUAUAUAACAUAUAGUAUUAUGUAUAUACAUAUGCAUGUAUAUAUUAUGUAUGUAUAUAUGCAUGUAUGUUGUGAUACUCACCAAUACCUUGGUUCUUAGGAAUGUUAAAUGUGCUAGGGUCAAUUGUGAUUGAUUUGUAAUUUAAAUCAUCAAAAAAAAAAGGUUAACUUGGGCAUGGGUAACUGUAUCAGCUCACAGGCUGCAUGAAGAUAUGUACUUAGACUAUCUGGGAUCUGCUAAGCUCCUUGGUCAGGGCUAUAUGCUAUGAUGGAGGAAACAGCUCUAUGCUUUGAUGGAAAUGGAUGAAGCCAUUCAAGAGACAGAUGCUGUGUUUGAAAAUUAUGCUUUAAAGGAAGUCUGACUAAAACAUAUCAAAUUUUACUUGAUUUUGUUAUCCACUGUAGGGACCAAGCAAAGUCCUGAAUGAAUGUGUAUUGUUUGACAUGGGCACAACCAUGUCAAGGACAAAUGGCUCAGUGUCACUGGAGUGCCAAAUUCUCCCCUAGGUGAGGCUCAGAAAGAUGACAAAGCCCUUCUCAUGUCUGUGAGAAAACAUUGACUGUGUAGGAAGGAAACAAACACCAAAUAUAUAUUUACACUCCCCACACCCCAGUGUUUAUAGCCUGAAGACUGCCUUUUACAGAGCAUGCUCUUACCAAGAUUAGCUAAACCUGCCUUCCUGUUCAUCUGUACAUACAAUCUCAGCCUCGUUGUAUAUCUGUCUGUAAUAUUGCCUGCCACCUUCUUGUGCAGCUGACACAAUAACUCAUCUUCCUGUUGAAUUUUUAUAUGAUAAAUAAUAAAGAUGCUAUGCCUGAGUGGGGGUAGACUGGUUUCUCCAUCAAAGAGCCUAGUCUAACUGGUUCCAACAUUUCUAUCUGUAUUGUCUUUUCUUCACUUUGCUGUUGCUCGAGUCAGGUGAUCCUUGAAGUUAAGGCGGCACUAGCAAUUCACAUAUCAAUACUUCAUAUAUAGCUGAAAAUCAUAAGCCGUCCUGCUUCUUUUAUUCACAUCUAUGUACUGUGCUAUCAAAGUUCAAGGUCCAAUGGGCAUGAAUUAUGAUGAUUUAUGCUUCUAAUUUUUCACACAAACAACCUAAAGAACCCACAUUUUGGGGCAUUAUCUUUCCUGAUAAGUAGGCAUGAAAGGGCGGGUGAAUGGACAGAAAAAAAAAGGGCUACUUUUUGGAAAACAUUGUCUGUUUCUCUUUUUCGAUAUCCUGGAAUAUUCUGCUUUCUUUGAGACUUCGUUCUCAGCUCAACAUAUGGCUGACUUGGCCUUGAGUGAGUCAUCUCACUCCCGGAUACCUAAGCAGUUUGGCGUCCAUUCUGAAUGUGAAGUAACUGAGAGAAUUAGCUACUCCAGAGUUGAAACUUGACCCACCCAAGGCAGGAUUAAGGUACUGACCCUUCCAGACAAAACAGGAUGGAGGCGCUGACCCUCUUUGCAAUGCUUUUGGCGAGUGCAAAUCCCUGGGCUCUGCCCUGGGACUUCCUGGACAGUAGCUUGUAUGAACCAAAUCAAACCUGUACCAUCCUAACACUAAUUUUUUCCUUGAGCUGUUGCUUUGGCUUUCUAACGUUCCUGGGUGAAGACAAUUUUCCUUCAAGGGAUUUAUAAGAUGAGCAUCCUCCAGAAGGAUUUUAAUAAGCUCAGGGUUAGUCAUCCACAGAAGAAUAUUGGUGACCAUACCUCUGGUGGUUGCUACAGGGGAGUGCAGUCAUAGUAACCCCUAGCAUACAGUGGCUGGGUUGACUCAGAAACUGGAUCCUGUCCUUUGGAGGCCGGAAAAAGUCUUGCUAUAUAUCCAUCGUUGGUGUUACACUGGUAUCUGUGUAACAAAGUAUCUGUGUAAAGGGGUAAGAAUUGUAGGACAUUGAACUGUCCAUUCAAACACUGUGAGAAGCCUCAGGUGCAGUGUGAGUGAGACUCUCCUGGACCCUCAAAGAACAACACACGAAAGACCAAGCUGUGGGUGUUAGGUUUUGAUAUUUGUUUGUUUAAUUUUUGUUAGCAAACCACAGGAAGGUUUCUUGUGCACAUGCUAUAGUGCUUCGUCCUUCUUCAUCCCUCUACUCUUGGCUUCUUUAUCCUCUACUCUCAGCUUCUUCACCCUCUACUCUCUGCGCCCACUCUUAGCUCUUUCCUCCUUUGCUGGUCCAUUCCUACUCUCAAACACUCCUGCUUCUACAUUCAUGUCACAUGAUUUCCUUUGUUCUUCCAGACUUAUGUUCUCUUCUGCUUCUCUCAUUGUCCUCUUUUAACUUUCAACACACACACACACACACACACACACACACACACACACACUCACUCACACACACUUAGAUCCAGAUUCUGCGUUUGAGAGAAAUCAGGAAAUUGGUCUUUCGGAGUCUGUACUAACAUUCUUACCGUCAUGAUUUUAAGUUCCACCCACUUUCCUCUAGUUGUCCAGAUUUUGUUUGUUUUUCAUUGCUGAAUAAUACUUCAUCGCAUAUCCCACUGUGUCCUUAGUUUUUGUCUUUGUUUUCCUUGUCACUUUCAUGGCUUUAUUGUUUUUAUUUCCUUAAGUUACCAUGCAUAAAAAGUCUCAUGAUGGAUUUUUAAUUUAUAUUUUGCUUCUGUUUAUCUUUAUCCUGUGCCCACUCCACCUCUCACUCACACCUUUCCUCCCCUUAGUGGACCCCAUUCCACUUCUAUAUCAUAUUAUUCUAGUUCUAUCUCCCUUUCUUCCUUACCUUAACAUUUUUUUCUCAUGGUCCCAUUUUUAGUUUUAUGACUUAAACUCACUCUCUCUCUCUCUCUCUCUCUCUCUCUCUCUCUCUCACACACACACACACACACACACACACACACAGAGAGAGAGAGAGAGAGAGAGAGAUCUGCUGCAUAUAAGAGAGAAUAUGUGGUAUUUAUCUUUCUGUGUCCAUGUUCCUUUGCUUAACAACUUAGAGUUCUAUCCAUUUCCAUGCAGGUGUCCUAGUCUCAUUUUUAAUCACAGCUGAAUAAAACCCCAUUGUGUGUCUACACCAUGCUUUUCUUUAUCUGGGAAUCUGCUGGUGGGCAUCUAGGCUACCAGAAAUAGAGUUACAAACAUGGAUGCCAACUAUGUGUGAAGUCGUAACAUCCUUGGCUCUACAAUCAGAUAUAACGUCUGACAAUUCUCCACACUGAUGCCUGUCAUGGUGACACCAGUUCACACUCCCACCAGUGGUAAAUAAGGGUCUCCCUUCCUCACCCUCUGGGCUGUUCACUUGUCAGUAGCAUCUUGUUAUUGGAACAAGGUGGAAUCUCAAAUCAGUGUUAAUGUGCAUUUCCCUGAUGGCUCGGGAUGUUCAGUUGUUUUCUAAGCACACACUGGCCAUUUGUAGUUCUUUUGAGAACUGUCAGCUCAGUGCAUCAGUCUACUUAUGGGCUGGAAGGUUUGCUUUUUAGGUAUGAGAUGUUUGCAGUUCCUUCUCCUAGAAAAAUAUUAUCCCAUUUGAUGGACAAUUAGCAAGGACUUGCUACUGUUCUAUAGUCAGACUCUUCAUCACAGUUAUUGUUCCUUUGCUACACAGGAGCUUUUGAAUUUCAAGUGAUCCCAUUGUCAAUUCUUGGGCUUAUUUCUUGUGCUAAUAAAAUCCUUUUCAGCAAGUCCUAGCCUAGCCCAUGUCUUCAAAUGUUCCCCUGUCAUUUCCUCUGGCAGUUUCAAAGGUUCAGGUCUCACAUUAGAGGUCUUCCACCCUCUGUGAACUUAUUUUGUGUGGGGUGAUAGUUAUGGAUAUGGUUUUAGUCUUCUAUGUGUGGAUAUUCUAUUUUCCCCAUAGCAUUUGAUAAAGCAGCUUUUUAAAAUUUAUUUCAGAAUUUCCUUCUUUUAUUUUAGUUAUGUGUUGGUGUGCAUUUCUGCAUAUAGCUGUGUGCAUUGAGUGUGGGUGGCCCUGGAAGAGGCCAGAGGUGUUAUGUCCCUUGUAGCAGGAGGUAUAGACUGUCAGUGAGACACUGCCAUAGGUACUGAUACCAAAUUUGAGUCCUCUGGAAGAGCAGAAGGUACUCUUAAUCACUCAGCCAUCUUUCCAGGCCUGUCACCUGCCUUUCAAAGGGUAUAUCUGGGCCAGUGAGAUGGCUCUGUGGGUAAAGGCACUUGCCACCAAUCUUGAUGACCUGAGUUCUAUCCCUGGAAUCCAGUGUGGUAGAAGGAAGGAACUCACAUGAUUGAAGGAGCAAACUGAGUCUCGUAUGUUGCCCUCCAACCUUCACAGAUGCAAAAGAACUGAAAGGGUAAAACAUUCUGAAAAACCUUCAAUGUGUAAAGUACAGUAGAUUCCAUGGCAAUGCCAAAGUUCUUGUUGAAGUAGCUUCAGGCUUACAAAGAAAGACAAGAGGCUUUGAUUCCCAGUCUCCACCUGUCUCCUGCUAUACAAAACUCGCAUUUCUACCUAGAGACCAGAAGAGGGCUUUACUGAGAGUAGACACAUUUAAGCUAAAUCUUGUUUUGUCUUUAUUGCCACCUCCUGCUUUUAUGACCAUAGGGAGGCCAUUUUGUAGCCCAAUAUAUCAUGAGAAUGCAUAAGCCUUGUUUUCAUAGAGGCUACACAGAAAACUGAAUUCAUAACCUGGUAGUAUAUGUCAGCUAGAACCAAGAUGCAUCUGGAUAGGAGCUGUUUUAGAAGGUUUUAGUUCUAUCUUUCCUCCUCUACUCCUGCCAACUCCUCUCCCUUUCCCUCCUGCAUCCCCUGUGCCUCUGUGUGAAUGAGUGUGGUGUGUGUGUGUGUGUGUGUGUGUGUGUGUGUGUGUGUGUGUGCAAUGUAUCAAACCUGGCCAUGGCAGAAUUCAUGGACAUACUCUACCAUAAUUCAGGAGUUAACAUUUCAGUAAAAAUACCUGAAGCUGAUCAUAAUAUCUUUCUUGACCCCGUGAAGCCACGAUCAAAUGAUAUUGUACCAAAGAAAUGAAGCAAAAAUACCUAGUAUAGUGAAGAAGGAUUCAGAAGACUCGGGGAGUCAGGCAAGUUAAAAUGAUUUAUGAUGUACAGGCUGAGAGUCCACAACUUGGUAUAAUCAACCUGUCUCUUUCUUUGGGGAGUUCUCUGUCUUUGAAAGAUUUGAAAAAGGAAGCAAACCAAGAUGGCCAGCCAGUUUCAUCUAAAAUACAAAUAGGAAUGGGUUGUAGAUCCAUUAAUCACCUUCAGCUUAUUUUUCUCUUAUUUGUUUUACAGUUUAUAGGAGCCUUUAUGAUUCCUCAUCUUUGUGAAUGUGAUAGAGGACAGGGAACUGAGAUUACCAAGGCUGAUCUCAAUUAACAAUUGUUAAUAAAUGUAUUGAAGGUUACAGAACAUAAAAUUAGGAUUUAUAAUUGCCCUUUUAGAAGGGAAUUUACAAUUAAGCAUUUCUAUGUUUAAAAUAACCUUGUUUGACAAUAAAAAACUAAGAGCUGAGAUGUAGCUCAGUUGGCAAAGCCUUUGCCUUGUGAGCAAGAAGACCUGUGUUGGAUCUCAGAAUUCUUGCAAAAAUGCAAGCCAUGGUGGUACCAUGUGUAAUACCAGCACCAAGGAAAAAUAGUUAACAGGAUUUCUGGGGCUUCUUUGCCAUUCACUCUUGAUGAAUUAGUUAGCUAUAGGCUGAGAGACCACAUCUCAAAGGCUCAUGACCUUCCUAGGAUGAUAACCAAAGCUGCCCUCUAAGGCUCCACAUGCAUGUGUACACACACCCACAUAUGCACCCACAGGCAAACAUGUACAUGUAGACAUUUUAAAAGUUAAGUCAUUUAGAGCAUGUUGUUUCACUCACCUCAUUUGUAAGAUAAGCUCUAAAUAAAUAAUUUAGUACAUUUUGAUUGGUCUUAAAUAAAAUAAGCAUAACAAUACACCUACAUGUAUAGUAUAAUUUAUGUUGAAAUUUUUAGGGUAAAUUGAAAAAAAGUCAACAACAGCCACAAAUAAACGAGGGACAUGCCAGAGAAUCAGAUGGUGUCUUAGAUCUCUGAGGAGAGCUAGGAUUGCCUAGGACGCUAAAUAAAUGUACGCAGUCAACUCAAAUCUAUUUUGAAAUGCUAGAGUCAUGCUGAGUGCUUCUCUCAACACAUCUGAGUUACUCCACAAGGAAGAAUUGUUACAUCAGCAGUCUACCACGACAGAUGCCACAAUAGUGUCUAUUCCCACUAAGUGGAAGAAACCACAUGUUAUUAAAUAAUCGUUCAAUAAUAUGAUUGACUUUGAAUAGAAAGAACUAUCGAAUAAACUAUGCAUUACACCGGAACACACUUCGCUCCAAUAGACAGAUGUACACACACAGAUAUAGAUUAAAAUACUUGUAAGUAUUGCUGUGAACACACCUAAAAUGAACAAUGAAGUUCUUAUUGUCCCUAUGAGCAAGUAUAUAGUUAAUAUUCAGCUCUUCGUGAAGUGAUCAAUUAGCUCUUGACUCUUGCAUCUGUAAUUAUCAAUACAAUCAUUCUCGCUAAAUGUAGGCUUAGUUAUCUUGACAGAAUUUGUCAAAAAUAUUUUCAAGUGCUUUGAGAUGAGUGACAUUUACCUCAGUGAUUGACAUCCUAUACAUUAGUUUCAUUUCAAAUUCUCUUCCAGAAUGAUAUUUUACUGAAAGUAAUUUUAUUAAGACUCACUCUUUUUCCUAUGUGGCUACGUAAUACACUUAAUUAAAAAUGGAAAUAUUUGCUUAGAUAUUUCAUUAACUACAAUUAUUGACCCUGUGGGUUUCAUCCACCCAUCUCAAGUUAUCUGGGGGCAAAUUAUUCUCAGUUAUUUCCAACUGAAAAUAUGUGGGGUACUGAACCCAAUAGCUCUAUACAGUAAAUAGACAACUCUAUCUUCCUUCAUCUCUUUCUUUUCAAGCCAGCUAAAUGAAGACAAGUAGGAUAUUGCAGUAAGACCCAGUUAAAUCAGCAGGGUUUCUCACAAAGUGGUGAUCACCUCUGUGCAGUCCCAAUUACAUUACCUUCUGCGGAAGCUUUGCUUCGGCAUGCACAUGAGCCAAUAAUACCAAAUGAGAUGCUUCUUGCUGGAGGCCAGGCAACCAUGAUGAGGUCAGCGUCAGAGUCCGGAAAAAAAGAGAAUGGAAAUAAAGUUCUUAUUCCAAGGCUGCAGAUCCUUUUAGAAUGUUUGAUCUGUUUUUAAUCUGGCUGGAAUUGGAUUGAGGAACCAGCAAUAAUUCAAACCAUUAUUUCUGGAGAAAGAUGUGAUGGUUAUAAAUGGCUAGGAUAAAAUUAACUCACU